RNAcentral lists this ribosomal RNA (421 nucleotides) under uncultured soil bacterium. RNAcentral's name for it is "bacterial SSU rRNA". It matches the Rfam family "Bacterial small subunit ribosomal RNA", at positions 26 to 454 of the family's 1533-position model. The record is from RNAcentral.
AGAUUGAACGCUGGCGGCAUGCCUUACACAUGCAAGUCGAACGGUAACGCGGGGCAACCUGGCGACGAGUGGCGAACGGGUGAGUAAUGCAUCGGAACGUGCCCAGUAGUGGGGUAUAGCUCGGCGAAAGCCGGAUUAAUACCGCAUACGACCUAAGGGUGAAAGCGGGGGACCGUAAGGCCUCGCGCUAUUGGAGCGGCCGAUGUCAGAUUAAGUUGUUGGUGGGGUAAAAGCCUACCAAGCCGACGAUCUGUAGCUGGUCUGAGAGGACGACCAGCCACACUGGGACUGAGACACGGCCAGACUCCGUACGGAGGCAGCAGUGGGAAUUUGGACAAGUGGGGCAACCGUGAUCAGCCAUGCCGCGUGGCGGGAAGAAGGCCGUUCGGUUGUAACCGUCGUUUGUCCGAGGGAAGAACCG